RNAcentral lists this ribosomal RNA (450 nucleotides) under uncultured bacterium. RNAcentral describes it as "partial 16S ribosomal RNA". It matches the Rfam family "Bacterial small subunit ribosomal RNA", at positions 354 to 796 of the family's 1533-position model. The record is from RNAcentral.
GUGGGGAAUUUUGGACAAUGGGCGCAAGCCUGAUCCAGCAAUGCCGCGUGCAGGAAGAAGGCCUUCGGGUUGUAAACUGCUUUUGUACGGAACGAAACGGUCCUGGUUAAUACCUGGGGCUAAUGACGGUACCGUAAGAAUAAGCACCGGCUAACUACGUGCCAGCAGCCGCGGUAAUACGUAGGGUGCGAGCGUUCAUCGGAAUUACUGGGCGUAAAGCGUGCGCAGGCGGUGCUGUAAGACAGGCGUGAAAUCCCCGGGCUCAACCUGGGAAUUGCGCUUGUGACUGCAGUGCUGGAGUACGGCAGAGGGGGAUGGAAUUCCGCGUGUAGCAGUGAAAUGCGUAGAUAUGCGGAGGAACACCGAUGGCGAAGGCAGUCCCCUGGGCCUGUACUGACGCUCAUGCACGAAAGCGUGGGGAGCAAACAGGAUUAGAAACCCCUGUAGUCC